RNAcentral lists this unclassified non-coding RNA (250 nucleotides) under Hevea brasiliensis (rubber tree). The record is from RNAcentral. Lineage: Eukaryota; Viridiplantae; Streptophyta; Magnoliopsida; Malpighiales; Euphorbiaceae.
UGAGCCUAUGGAUGCAACAACAAAUGGGGAUGGAGCCCAAGAAUGAGGAUUAAUAUUUUCUGCCCUAUAUAUAUAUAUAUAUAUUUCAGUUUUGGCAGUCUGUUCAUUGUAUCUGGUUAGUUACGAAAUGAUUUUUAAUGGUGUCUUGGACAUUGAUCCCAAUUGAAGUUCCCUGCAUAUUCGAUCUCAUAAAACCCUCUCUAUUUGUGCAUGUUAAACGUUGAAUGACAGUGGAUAGACAAACUUAGGC